UGGGGAAUAUUGGACAAUGGGCGCAAGCCUGAUCCAGCCAUGCCGCGUGAGUGAUGAAGGCCCUAGGGUUGUAAAGCUCUUUCACCGGUGAAGAUAAUUACGGUAACCGGAGAAGAAGCCCCGGCUAACUUCGUGCCAGCAGCCGCGGUAAUACGAAGGGGGCUAGCGUUGUUCGGAUUUACUGGGCGUAAAGCGCACGUAGGCGGACUUUUAAGUCAGGGGUGAAAUCCCGGGGCUAAACCCCGGAACUGCCUUUGAUACUGGAAGUCUUGAGUAUGGUAGAGGUGAGUGGAAUUCCGAGUGUAGAGGUGAAAUUCGUAGAUAUUCGGGGGAACACCAGUGGCGAAGGCGGCUCACUGGACCAUUACUGACGCUGAGGUGCGAAAGCGUGGGGAGCAAACAGG
This 404-nucleotide ribosomal RNA is filed under the name Actinomycetes bacterium. RNAcentral's name for it is "Actinobacteria bacterium partial 16S ribosomal RNA". It matches the Rfam family "Bacterial small subunit ribosomal RNA", at positions 355 to 776 of the family's 1533-position model. Lineage: Bacteria; Bacillati; Actinomycetota; Actinomycetes. The record is from RNAcentral.